CGACUACCGGUGCUCUGUGAUACACUUUCUACGAGUCGAGUUGUUUGGGAAUGCAGCUCAAAAUGGGUGGUAAAUUCCAUCUAAAGCUAAAUAUAGGCGAGAGACCGAUAGCGAACAAGUACCGUGAGGGAAAGAUGAAAAGCACUUUGGAAAGAGAGUUAAACAGUACGUGAAAUUGUUGAAAGGGAAACGAUUGAAGUCAGUCGUGACUGUUGGUUUCAUCCGGUUCUGCCGGUGUAUUACCAGCAGUCGGGUCAACAUCAGUUUUGAGCGGUGGAAAAAGGUAGAGAGAACGUAGCACCUUCGGGUGUGUUAUAGCUCUCUAUUGCAUACAC
This 335-nucleotide ribosomal RNA is filed under the name Hannaella phetchabunensis. Its description in RNAcentral is "partial large subunit ribosomal RNA". It matches the Rfam family "Eukaryotic large subunit ribosomal RNA", at positions 230 to 576 of the family's 3401-position model. Lineage: Eukaryota; Fungi; Basidiomycota; Tremellomycetes; Tremellales; Bulleribasidiaceae. The record is from RNAcentral.